RNAcentral lists this unclassified non-coding RNA (1791 nucleotides) under uncultured fungus. Its description in RNAcentral is "sequence contains 18S rRNA gene, ITS1, 5.8S rRNA gene, ITS2, 28S rRNA gene". The record is from RNAcentral. Lineage: Eukaryota; Fungi.
ACCAGGGCGCGAUCGGCGUCGGCAUCGACAUUCCCAGCGGCAUCACCAAGCGCGGGGUCUGGGGCAAGGAGAUCAUCCGCGAACAUCCCGACACCGAGCACAGCAUCGUCGGGUUGACGAUCCCGCGCUGGAACGAGCUGUUGCAGAUGGCGUCGCGCUGCUACGAACUGUCGGGCAUGGGCUAUGUCGGCGUCGACUUCGUGCUCGAUCGCAACCAGGGCCCGCUGAUCCUCGAACUGAAUGCGCGGCCGGGCCUGGCGAUCCCAGAUGGCGAACGGCAACGGCCUGCUGCAUCGCCUGCGCAAGGUCGAGGCGCUGAAGGCGGCGGGUGCGUUGUCCACGGUGCCCGAAGAGCGUGUUGCAUUCGCGCUCGAGAAUUUCCCGACCCCUGGGUUAACCCCCGAUCGCUUCGAUGCACGUUGCAUGCGGGAUCCGGCCUCGCGCCGGCGCGAACCGGAGGCAAAUGCCCGCAUUGUGGAAGGAUUCACGGUUUCACGGCUUGAGCAAAUACACUAAAGCCAGUUAGUCUUCGCGGUUCCCGUCGCGGCCCGGCAUUCGUGCCCGGACCGGCCUACGAGUCGAGGUGUCUCCAUGUCCUUCACGAAGCUGUUCAAGACCAUCGUCGUCGCGCUGCUGCUUGGCCUGCUGCCUCGGGGUCGGUCCUUGCGCGGACCAAGAAGGCCGAGAAGAAGGAACCGAUGUUCCGAACGCGACGCGCGAGGAGCCCAAGAUCAAGCCGUCGUCGAAGGUGUCCAAGCAGCUGGCGAAGAUGUUCGCGCUGUCGGGACGAGGAGAAGUACGACGAGGCGAUGGGCGUUGCCGACGAAGUCAUCGCGCACAAGAACGCAGGCCCAUACGAGGAAGGCGCUGGCCUACCAGAUCAAGGGUUUUCGCGUGGCUGGAGAAGGACGACUACGGCCAGGCGAUCCCGCUGCUGCAGAAGGCGAUCGACGAGAACGGCCUGCCGAACGACAGCCACUACCAGAUCAUGUACCAGAUCGGCCAGAUGCAGGUCUCCGAGGAGCAGUACGACGCGGCGUUGAAGACGCUCGACCGUUUCCUCAGCGAGACCAAGUCCGAGAAGCCGGACUACCUGGCGAUGAAGGGCAAUGCGCUGUACCGCCUGGACCGCUUCGACGAGGCGGCGCCGUGUUGCGCAAGGCGAUCGAUACGUCCGACAAGCCGCAGGAGGGUUGGAGCCAGCUACUGAUGGCGAGCUACUUCGACCAGGACAAGCCGAUGGAGGCCGCGAAGAUCGCGGAGGAAAUGCUCGCGAAGCAUCCCGACGACAGAAGAUGCUGAUGAACCUGUCGUCGAUCUACGCCGGCGCGGAUCAGUACGACAAGGCGAUCGAGGUGCUCGAGCGCGCGCGCACCAAGGGCCUGCUAAACGAGGAGCGCGACUACCGCCAGCUCUACGCGCUGUACCUCAACGCCGAAGGCAAGGAAGCGCAGGGCAUCGCGGUGAUCAACGAGGGCCUCGAGAAGGGCAUCCUCAAGCCGAGCUCCGAGGUCUACAUCGCGCUCGGGCAGGCGUACUACUUCAGCGACAAGAUCAAGGAAUCGAUCGACGCGUACCGCAAGGCGCUACCGUUCGCGAAGGACGGCGAGCCGGCACUGAAUCUCGGUCGCGUGCUGACCAACGAGGAAGACUACGCGGGUGCGAAAGCGGCCGCGCAGGAAGCGCUGAAGAAGGGCGUCAAGAAGCCUGGUGACGCGUGGAUGGUGAUCGGUCGCGCCGAGUUCGGACUCGGCAACAAGGCCGGUCUGAUUGCGGCCUACAAGGAAGCUG